CUGGAAUCUUCAGGUUUCUCUGGUCUUUUGUCCAAACAUCUGUAUGUUCUUUGCCUUCAUGCUUUGGGGCUUUACUGAAGACAAUCAUAAAUCAUGGAUUAGGUUUUUCAGAAUAACACAUGAACUUACUGUUCUUACAGUCAUUGUUUAUUCAGUUCUUUUUGCAUAUGGCUGGAGAAUUAGUGCACAUGAUACAGACAAGACACACCGUAUAGCCUCAGGAAUGUGCUUUGGAUUAGUUGUGCUGUUCUGUCUCAUCCUGAGUGCAGGUAAGAGUUUCUGUAUGAUUUG
Molecule: long non-coding RNA, 291 nt
Filed under: Sinocyclocheilus anshuiensis
Lineage: Eukaryota; Metazoa; Chordata; Actinopteri; Cypriniformes; Cyprinidae
Description: lncRNA (ENSSANG00000000375.1)
Source: RNAcentral